GUAGGCAUAGUUUAACAAAAACACUAGAUUGUGGUUCUAGAAACAGAGGUUAAAACCCCCUUGCUCACC
Molecule: transfer RNA, 69 nt
Filed under: Mugilogobius abei (Abe's mangrove goby)
Lineage: Eukaryota; Metazoa; Chordata; Actinopteri; Gobiiformes; Gobiidae
Description: tRNA-His
Rfam family: tRNA
About the family: Transfer RNA (tRNA) molecules are approximately 80 nucleotides in length.
Source: RNAcentral